CUCCCGGUCGUUUCGUAGAUGAUUUUGCUUUUAACCCCCGCCACGCGCGCCACCCGCAUUUUCAUUUCCCAACUUUCUGGGGGGCUCUCUAGAAAAACCGCCGGAGAUACCCCGGAAAAGGGUGGGGAAGACGUCGUGACCUCGUGGCUUAUACCGGGUGGGCUACACACGUGAUACAAUGGUGGUGACAAUGGGUUAAUCCCCCAAGACCAUCUCAAUUCCGAUUGUCGUCUGUCACUCAGCGGCAUGAACUCCGAAUCGCUAGUAAUCACAUAACAGCAUGACAAGGUGAAUACAUUCCCGGGUCUUGUACACACCGAUGGGUCUUGUACACACCGAGA
This 341-nucleotide ribosomal RNA is filed under the name uncultured bacterium. RNAcentral describes it as "bacterial SSU rRNA". It matches the Rfam family "Bacterial small subunit ribosomal RNA", at positions 1053 to 1387 of the family's 1533-position model. The record is from RNAcentral.